Molecule: transfer RNA, 68 nt
Filed under: Oryzaephilus surinamensis (saw-toothed grain beetle)
Lineage: Eukaryota; Metazoa; Arthropoda; Insecta; Coleoptera; Silvanidae
Description: tRNA-Val
Source: RNAcentral
CAAAUUAGAGCUUGUUAAGAGUAUUUUAUUUACACUAAAAUGGAGAUUGUUAAUUCAAUUUAAUUUGA